GAUGAACGCUGGCGGCGUGCUUAACACAUGCAAGUCGAACGGGAUCCCAGGAGCUUGCUCCUGGGUGAGAGUGGCGAACGGGUGAGUAAUGCGUGACCGACCUGCCCCAUACACCGGAAUAGCUCCUGGAAACGGGUGGUAAUGCCGGAUGCUCCGACAUGACGCAUGUUGUUUCGGGAAAGAUUCAUCGGUAUGGGAUGGGGUCGCGUCCUAUCAGCUUGAUGGCGGGGUAACGGCCCACCAUGGCUUCGACGGGUAGCCGGCCUGAGAGGGCGACCGGCCACAUUGGGACUGAGAUACGGCCCAGACUCCUACGGGAGGCAGCAGUGGGGAAUAUUGCACAAUGGGCGCAAGCCUGAUGCAGCGACGCCGCGUGCGGGAUGACGGCCUUCGGGUUGUAAACCGCUUUUGACUGGGAGCAAGCCCUUCGGGGUGAGUGUACCUUUCGAA
This 450-nucleotide ribosomal RNA is filed under the name uncultured bacterium. RNAcentral's name for it is "bacterial SSU rRNA". It matches the Rfam family "Bacterial small subunit ribosomal RNA", at positions 28 to 486 of the family's 1533-position model. The record is from RNAcentral.